Molecule: ribosomal RNA, 195 nt
Filed under: Synura petersenii
Lineage: Eukaryota; Synurophyceae; Synurales; Mallomonadaceae
Description: partial 18S ribosomal RNA
Rfam family: Eukaryotic small subunit ribosomal RNA
Source: RNAcentral
CCUGCCCUUUGUACACACCGCCCGUCGCACCUACCGAUUGAAUGAUUCGGUGAAAAUUCUGGACUGUGGCUCGGACGCCUUCGGGCGACCUUGCUGUGGGAAGUUAUUUAAACCUCAUCAUUUAGAGGAAGGUGAAGUCGUAACAAGGUUUCCGUAGGUGAACCUGCGGAAGGAUCAUUACCACACCCUCAAAUA